Molecule: RNA transcript, 623 nt
Organism: Lolium rigidum
Lineage: Eukaryota; Viridiplantae; Streptophyta; Magnoliopsida; Poales; Poaceae
Gene name: cx9C motif-containing protein 4-like
Exons: 4
Source: RefSeq, a predicted model, not a curated record
CCGACCAGCCGCGGGAGGGAGAGAGAUGGCGCAGCCGAGCAAGGAGCCGUGCAAGAAGGAGGCGUGCGACAUCCAGGCCUGCCUCUCCAAGAAUCUCUUCGAUUCCAAGAAGUGUUUGAAAGUUAUUCAGUCACUUCAGUCUUGUUGUGACCAGUGCGAGUACAAAUCAACACAUUGUGGUUCUUUGACUGGGUUACUGAAAAACAUAACAAAGUGAUGUCACAAGAUCGCCAUGUUUUUAUGUAGCUGUUUAAUCAAGGUCAUUGUAGGUUACUAGGUUUGCUCAGUUUCUCUUAUUCAUCAUGCAUCACUGAGGGGAAAAAAAAAUACUGCAAUCAUUCUCAACCUCCAGAAUGAUGCUCUGGUUGCUGAGUUGUUCGGUACUGAGAUUUGUCAACAGAUAGACAUUUCUAGAAGAUGGAUACUGCUACACCAUAUGCUUGUAAUACCCUUCAUAGUUCUUAUGCUCCUGUUCACAUGUAAUCCCAUGUUUCUUUUCAGAAAAAUAAUUAGCCGCUGGUGUUCAUGUACAUUUGUCCACAUGUGUGAUACAGGGAAAAUGUCUGGAGUGUAAUUGUAAUUUUCACAGUGCAUGUUCUAGGUAACAAGGAAUAACAAGCUUG